Molecule: ribosomal RNA, 2840 nt
Filed under: Paraburkholderia fungorum
Lineage: Bacteria; Pseudomonadati; Pseudomonadota; Betaproteobacteria; Burkholderiales; Burkholderiaceae
Description: 23S ribosomal RNA
Rfam family: Bacterial large subunit ribosomal RNA
Source: RNAcentral
CAGGCGAUGAAGGACGCGGUAGCCUGCGAAAAGCGGAGGGGAGCUGGCAAACGAGCUUUGAUCCUCCGAUAUCCGAAUGGGGAAACCCGGCCCGUAUGGGUCAUCCGUAACUGAAUACAUAGGUUACGUGAAGCGAACGCGGUGAACUGAAACAUCUAAGUAACCGCAGGAAAAGAAAUCAACCGAGAUUCCCAGAGUAGUGGCGAGCGAAAUGGGACCAGCCUGUACUCUUUAUCUUCAUUGUUAGUCGAAGGCUCUGGAAAGUGCCGCCAUAGCAGGUGAUAGCCCUGUAGACGAAAACAGCGAGGAAGAACUAGGUGUACGGAAAGUAGGGCGGGACACGUGAAAUCCUGUCUGAAGAUGGGGGGACCAUCCUCCAAGGCUAAAUACUCGUGAUCGACCGAUAGUGAACCAGUACCGUGAGGGAAAGGCGAAAAGAACCCCGGGAGGGGAGUGAAACAGAUCCUGAAACCGCAUGCAUACAAACAGUCGGAGCCUCUGCGAAGGGGUGACGGCGUACCUUUUGUAUAAUGGGUCAGCGACUUACAUUCAGUGGCAAGCUUAACCGAUUAGGGCAGGCGUAGCGAAAGCGAGUCCGAACAGGGCGAUUCAGUCGCUGGGUGUAGACCCGAAACCAGGUGAUCUAUCCAUGGCCAGGAUGAAGGUGCGGUAACACGUACUGGAGGUCCGAACCCACUAACGUUGAAAAGUUAGGGGAUGAGCUGUGGAUAGGGGUGAAAGGCUAAACAAACCUGGAAAUAGCUGGUUCUCUCCGAAAACUAUUUAGGUAGUGCCUCGUGUAUCACCUUCGGGGGUAGAGCACUGUCAUGGUUGUGGGGUCCAUUGCGGAUUACUACGCCAUAGCAAACUCCGAAUACCGAAGAGUGCAAUCACGGGAGACAGACAUCGGGUGCUAACGUCCGGUGUCAAGAGGGAAACAACCCAGACCGCCAGCUAAGGUCCCCAAAUAUUGCUAAGUGGGAAACGAAGUGGGAAGGCUAAAACAGUCAGGAGGUUGGCUUAGAAGCAGCCAUCCUUUAAAGAAAGCGUAAUAGCUCACUGAUCGAGUCGUCCUGCGCGGAAGAUGUAACGGGGCUAAGCAAUAUACCGAAGCUGCGGAUGCACAUUUAUGUGCAUGGUAGGAGAGCGUUCCGUAAGCCUGCGAAGGUGCAUUGAAAAGUGUGCUGGAGGUAUCGGAAGUGCGAAUGCUGACAUGAGUAGCGAUAAAGGGGGUGAAAGGCCCCCUCGCCGUAAGCCCAAGGUUUCCUACGCAACGUUCAUCGGCGUAGGGUGAGUCGGCCCCUAAGGCGAGGCAGAAAUGCGUAGCUGAUGGGAAGCAGGUUAAUAUUCCUGCACCAUUGUUAAAUGCGAUGGGGGGACGGAUCGCGGAAGGUUGUCCGGGUGUUGGAAGUCCCGGUCCUUGCAUUGGAGAAGGCGCUCAGGCAAAUCCGGGCGCGGAAUUCAAGGGUGCGAGGCCAUUCACUUAGGUGAAGAAGCAAUCGGAAGUGGUUCCAAGAAAAGCCUCUAAGCUUCAGUUUAACAGGACCGUACCGCAAACCGACACAGGUGGGCGAGAUGAGUAUUCUAAGGCGCUUGAGAGAACUCGGGAGAAGGAACUCGGCAAAUUGGUACCGUAACUUCGGGAUAAGGUACGCCCCUGUAGCUUGAUGCCCCUGCGGGCAGAGGGUGAAGGGGUUGCAAUAAACUGGUGGCUGCGACUGUUUAAUAAAAACACAGCACUCUGCAAACACGAAAGUGGACGUAUAGGGUGUGACGCCUGCCCGGUGCCGGAAGAUUAAAUGAUGGGGUGCAAGCUCUUGAUUGAAGUCCCGGUAAACGGCGGCCGUAACUAUAACGGUCCUAAGGUAGCGAAAUUCCUUGUCGGGUAAGUUCCGACCUGCACGAAUGGCGUAACGAUGGCCACACUGUCUCCUCCCGAGACUCAGCGAAGUUGAAGUGUUUGUGAUGAUGCAAUCUCCCCGCGGCUAGACGGAAAGACCCCAUGAACCUUUACUGUAGCUUUGCAUUGGACUUUGAACCGAUCUGUGUAGGAUAGGUGGGAGGCUAUGAAGCGUGGACGCCAGUCUGCGUGGAGCCGUCCUUGAAAUACCACCCUGGUUUGUUUGAGGUUCUAACCUUGGUCCGUAAUCCGGAUCGGGGACAGUGCAUGGUAGGCAGUUUGACUGGGGCGGUCUCCUCCCAAAGUGUAACGGAGGAGUACGAAGGUACGCUAGGUACGGUCGGAAAUCGUGCUGAUAGUGCAAUGGCAUAAGCGUGCUUAACUGCGAGACCGACAAGUCGAGCAGGUGCGAAAGCAGGUCAUAGUGAUCCGGUGGUUCUGUAUGGAAGGGCCAUCGCUCAACGGAUAAAAGGUACUCUGGGGAUAACAGGCUGAUACCGCCCAAGAGUUCAUAUCGACGGCGGUGUUUGGCACCUCGAUGUCGGCUCAUCUCAUCCUGGGGCUGUAGCCGGUCCCAAGGGUAUGGCUGUUCGCCAUUUAAAGAGGUACGUGAGCUGGGUUUAAAACGUCGUGAGACAGUUUGGUCCCUAUCUGCCGUGGGCGCUGGAUAUUUGAAGGGGGCUGCUCCUAGUACGAGAGGACCGGAGUGGACGAACCUCUGGUGUACCGGUUGUCACGCCAGUGGCAUCGCCGGGUAGCUAUGUUCGGAAGAGAUAACCGCUGAAAGCAUCUAAGCGGGAAACUCGCCUUAAGAUGAGAUAUCCCCGGGGCUUCGAGCCCCUUGAAGGGUCGUUCAAGACCAGGACGUUGAUAGGUCAGGUGUGGAAGCGCAGUAAUGCGUUAAGCUAACUGAUACUAAUUGCCCGUAAGGCUUGAUCCU